Molecule: long non-coding RNA, 2958 nt
Filed under: Homo sapiens (human)
Lineage: Eukaryota; Metazoa; Chordata; Mammalia; Primates; Hominidae
Description: non-protein coding lnc-APBB1IP-1:11
Source: RNAcentral
CUGGCAGUGAGGGGCCUUGUGAGCCAUGUGCCUGUGUUCUCAAGUUCCAGGGUUCUGGGGAUGCAUGCAGGGGAUUCUGGACCUGAUUGUUUCCUCUGAACCAGGAUGCAUUCUGGUUGGCAGGGCAACUGGCCUUCACUUGGUGGCCUUCAUGGAUGCCCACAUUGGUUGCCUUCGGUUAGUGCACUCAGUUGGUACCCUCAGUUGUUUCUCUUCAGUUGGUGGUCUUCAAUUGUUGGGCAGUGGCAGAAGGAGGAUGAAUCCGUUUGUGCUCUCUCCUCCCCCAGUCACAGCUCUCAGGCUUGUUGCCCCCAGGCCCUCCUAAAAUAAACCAGAGAUGUUGGCAGGUUUUUCUUAGCAGACUAAUCAGCUCAGGAUAUGGGGGUGAGGCAGGGUGUAGGGUGCAGGUUGCUAGCACAGUGCCGCCCCAUGGCCCAGGGCUGCCUGUGCCAGACAUGCCUUUGCAAGGAAGAGGCAAUAGUUGUUGAGCUCUGCAGACUUGGGGGCAAGCGAAGGUCCAAGCUGCCUGAGAAGAGCAGGGGUGCCGCAUGGGGACCACACUGAACUGUCACAAGUGCACCAAAGUCAGCCCCAGUCAGGGCUGGCAGAAGGGUUCUGCAGAGCCAGCCUGUGGCUCUGAUGUCUACCAGUGUGCAGACAGAGAAGGCGCAGGCUGUGAUAUACAGGAGCAGAGGAGCCCUGAACACGCUGUCCCCCAAUACCAGCCACAAGCGGGGCUAUCUCAGGGUGCGGUGGGUGAAGCCGUCCUGCAGCUCUGCGAUCCACGAGGUGGAGGUGGCAGUACUACCAGACUCCACUGCUUUGGAGCCUGCCCAGUCGAAUUUGGGAUCCAGUGACAGACCUGACAGCAGUACAUUGGCAACCAGAAGAUACCCCAGGUAGGGUGGCAACGGAUACUGCUUAACUUGAGAAGAGCCUCAGUUUUCUCAUCUAUAUAAGAUGUGAUUGCUAUGAAGCUUCCAUAAGGUAAGUGUGUAAAAACCAUGGCAAAAUGCUUGUAACUUAAAACAGAGUGUUUCUAUGAGGCUUCUAUAAGGUGAGUGUGCAAAAAUCUGGACACAAUACCUAUAAUUGUUUAAGUGUUCAGUAUGUGGAGAAGGAGGAUUAUUUUUUCUCAUCUAAUUUUUAGAGCGAGUUCAUAAGAUUGGUGAUACUCAUAUAUCUUAGACAAUCAAACCAAUAAUCAGAAAGAAUAAAUAGAUCACCAGAGUCACAAAGCAGUUCACAAUGCAUUCACUGGGUAAUUUUUAGUUGAAAGUAGAAAUGAUGAUCACAUUGAAAAUUUUGUAUUAUGUUGUGGUUUUCUCUUACAUAAUCCUCUUGGUGUCUUGGUGUUAUGAAACCACAGAUUCUAAAUUGCUCUAUCAAAGUGAUCAUUAGAAAAAUCUGAUGUACUUAGUGUUUAAAUGUUAGAAAAUUUCUUGUUAGUCUUCUCAAUUUGAUUGAACAUGUGUGUUAUUUUCAAAAAUGUAAAUGGGACAUAUGUGGAUUUGUUAUAUAUGUGUAUAUAUGAAAUAUUACUUGAUAUUAUAGAGUAGGCUUAGCUCAUGGCAAAGUUUUUUUCUGAAAGCACCUGCAGAAAUCUCUCUUAUUUCUAGUUUGUUAAUAUUUCAGAGAUUAUGGGGGAAAGGGGGUUUUAUGAAUCCCAGACAUUGCGUGAAGCAGAUUUGGUUUCAGUAAUUUUAGCAUCAUUCAUUGUAAGGUGAUGAUCCCUAGGAAUUUCUUCACAGUGAGAAACCUGAAGGUUCCUAGCAUGCAGCAAUGAAUGAAAGGUGGGGCGGGGCCACUGGCAUGGUGGGGCCUUGUGAGCCAUGUGUCUGUGCUCUCAAGUUCCAAGUCUGUAGGGAUGCAUGCAGGGGAUUCUGGACCUGAUUGUUUACUCUGAACCAGGAUGCGGUCUGGUUGGCAGGGCAACUGGCCUUCACUUGGUGGCCUUCAGUGGGUGCCCUCAUUGGUUGCCUUCGGUUAGUGCCCUCAGUUGGUACCCUCAGUUGUUUCUCUUCAGGUGGUGGUCCUCAGUUGGUGGUCUUCAGUUGUUGGGCAGUGGUGGAAGGAGGAUGAAUCUGUGCUCUCUCCUGCCCCAGUCACAGCUCUCAGGCUUGUUGCAUCCAGGCCUUUCUAAAAUAAACUGGACAGGUUGGCAGGAUUUUUUAGCAGACAAGUCAGCUCAGAGUAUGGGGGUGAUAUGGGGUGCAUGCUGCUAGCGCAGUGCCACCCCGUGGCCCAGGACUGCUUGUGCUAGCAAUGCUUUUGCCAGCAAGAGACGAUAGGUGUUGAGCUCUGCACACUUGGGGGCAACCAAAGGCCCAAGCUGCCCAAGAAGAGCAGGAGUGCCCCAUGGGGACCACAUUGAACUGUCGCAUGUGCACCAAAGCCAGCCCCAGUCAGGGCCGGCACAAGGGUUGUGCAGAGCCAGCCUGUGGCUCUGACGUCUAUGAGUGUGCAGACAGCGCAGACGCAGCCCGCAAUAUACAGGAGCAGAGUUGCCCUGAACACGCUGUCCCACAAUGCCAACCACAAAUGGGGCCAGCUAAGGGUGUGGUGGGAGAAGCCAUCCUGCAGCUCUGAGAUCCACAAAGUGGAGAUAGCAGUAGCACCAACUCCACUGCUUUGGAGGCUGCCCAGUCGAAUUUGGGAGCCAGCGAGGGACCUGACAGCAGCACAUUGGACACCAGAAGACACCCAAAGGCUGGAAUGCUACGUCGCGAUGUCAGCUCGCUGCAACCCUUGCUUCCUGAGUUCAUGUGAUCCUCCUGCUUCAGCCUCCUGAGUAGCUGGGAUUAGAGGUGUGGGUCACCACGCCCGACUAAAUUUUUUGUAUUUUUAGUAGUGACUGGCUUGCACCAAAUUGGCCAGUCUGUUCUCGAACUCCUGACCUCAAGUGAUCUGCCUGUCUUGGCCUCCCCUCAGGCAGGGAUUACAGGAAUCAGCCACCAG